CAGGGGAAAUUUCAAGAGCAUUACGUAGAACCAGAAUUUGGCACAAUAGGAUCAUUAUGGAUUUGGGAAUUGAAAUGCUGUGCUUUGCCAGCCACUGCAUCUCCGGCAAGCUGAAAGAGCGUCUUGUCUCAUUAGACCGGGUUCUCCUCAUCCCAUGAGCUCCCCACGAGCACUCCGUGAGACAGCUAAGGUUUCUUUGAGAGCGACCAAAUGCAGCUGUGAUGCUCAGGAGUUAUCAACACACCAUUUCCAAAUCUCACAGAGGCCUGGAAAUGCAUCCACCGAGUCUGUACAUUUAACUGAAGUCUCAAGUAUGAAGAGAAAGAUCUGGGGUGACUGGUUCCAGAUCCUCCAUUGCACUGGAUGGUGCAUAGAACCAAGAGCUCCAGAUCAUCAGCAACUGAUUCUUGAGCUCUCUGUGGCUAUUCUGGAGAGGACAAUCUUUGGUCUACGACUCUUCUAUUUCCACUGAAAAGUGACAGUGACCACAGAUAAUGUCUGGAAGACAUUUAGUGCGUAAACAAGAAGGAAUUGAUGCGACCAUCCCCACCAUCAGGCUUAAUGAGUGUCUGGCUUCGUCCUGGCUUCCACGCAGCAGCAGCUGGUGCUGUGUCCACCGACCGGUGCUUCACGAGCAGAAAUCUGCUUUCCAAGUUUCAGCACACACAUGUGUAGACACCCAGCACACGGAGCCUUGGAUCCCAGUUCCCUGACAUAGGAUAUGUCAUGAAAAAUAUUAAUCAUAAAUGUCCUGAAAAUUGGAUCUGAUCUCCCUUAAUACUCUACUCGCUGUUGCAAUGGAAAUGUUUUCUAAUAAAAAAUAUCCAAGUCUGCCAAA
Molecule: long non-coding RNA, 838 nt
Organism: Rattus norvegicus (Norway rat)
Lineage: Eukaryota; Metazoa; Chordata; Mammalia; Rodentia; Muridae
Source: RefSeq, a predicted model, not a curated record